This 3019-nucleotide ribosomal RNA is filed under the name Klebsiella pneumoniae. RNAcentral describes it as "23S ribosomal RNA". It matches the Rfam family "Bacterial large subunit ribosomal RNA". The record is from RNAcentral. Lineage: Bacteria; Pseudomonadati; Pseudomonadota; Gammaproteobacteria; Enterobacterales; Enterobacteriaceae.
GGGUUGUGAGGUUAAGCGACUAAGCGUACACGGUGGAUGCCCUGGCAGUCAGAGGCGAUGAAGGACGUGCUAAUCUGCGAAAAGCGUCGGUAAGGUGAUAUGAACCGUUAUAACCGGCGAUGUCCGAAUGGGGAAACCCAGUGCAAUUCGUUGCACUAUCGUUAACUGAAUACAUAGGUUAACGAGGCGAACCGGGGGAACUGAAACAUCUAAGUACCCCGAGGAAAAGAAAUCAACCGAGAUUCCCCCAGUAGCGGCGAGCGAACGGGGAGCAGCCCAGAGUCUGAAUCAGCUUGUGUGUUAGUGGAACGGUCUGGAAAGUCCGACGGUACAGGGUGAUAGUCCCGUACACCAAAAUGCACAGGUUGUGAACUCGAAGAGUAGGGCGGGACACGUGGUAUCCUGUCUGAAUAUGGGGGGACCAUCCUCCAAGGCUAAAUACUCCUGACUGACCGAUAGUGAACCAGUACCGUGAGGGAAAGGCGAAAAGAACCCCGGCGAGGGGAGUGAAAAAGAACCUGAAACCGUGUACGUACAAGCAGUGGGAGCACCUUCGGGUGUGACUGCGUACCUUUUGUAUAAUGGGUCAGCGACUUAUAUUCUGUAGCAAGGUUAACCGUAUAGGGGAGCCGCAGGGAAACCGAGUCUUAACUGGGCGUUAAGUUGCAGGGUAUAGACCCGAAACCCGGUGAUCUAGCCAUGGGCAGGUUGAAGGUUGGGUAACACUAACUGGAGGACCGAACCGACUAAUGUUGAAAAAUUAGCGGAUGACUUGUGGCUGGGGGUGAAAGGCCAAUCAAACCGGGAGAUAGCUGGUUCUCCCCGAAAGCUAUUUAGGUAGCGCCUCGUGAACUCAUCUUCGGGGGUAGAGCACUGUUUCGGCUAGGGGGUCAUCCCGACUUACCAACCCGAUGCAAACUACGAAUACCGAAGAAUGUUAUCACGGGAGACACACGGCGGGUGCUAACGUCCGUCGUGAAGAGGGAAACAACCCAGACCGCCAGCUAAGGUCCCAAAGUCAUGGUUAAGUGGGAAACGAUGUGGGAAGGCACAGACAGCCAGGAUGUUGGCUUAGAAGCAGCCAUCAUUUAAAGAAAGCGUAAUAGCUCACUGGUCGAGUCGGCCUGCGCGGAAGAUGUAACGGGGCUAAACCAUGCACCGAAGCUGCGGCAGCGACACUAUGUGUUGUUGGGUAGGGGAGCGUUCUGUAAGCCUGCGAAGGUGUGCUGUGAGGCAUGCUGGAGGUAUCAGAAGUGCGAAUGCUGACAUAAGUAACGAUAAAGCGGGUGAAAAGCCCGCUCGCCGGAAGACCAAGGGUUCCUGUCCAACGUUAAUCGGGGCAGGGUGAGUCGACCCCUAAGGCGAGGCCGAAAGGCGUAGUCGAUGGGAAACAGGUUAAUAUUCCUGUACUUGGUGUUACUGCGAAGGGGGGACGGAGAAGGCUAUGUUAGCCGGGCGACGGUUGUCCCGGUUUAAGCAUGUAGGCUGNNNNNNNNNNNNNNNNNNNNNNNNNNNNNNNNNNNNNNNNNNNNNNNNNNNNNNNNNNNNNNNNNNNNNNNNNNNNNNNNNNNNNNNNNNNNNNNNNNNNUCCAGGCAAAUCCGGAUAAUCAAGGCUGAGGUGUGAUGACGAGGCACUACGGUGCUGAAGUAACAAAUGCCCUGCUUCCAGGAAAAGCCUCUAAGCAUCAGGUAACAUUAAAUCGUACCCCAAACCGACACAGGUGGUCAGGUAGAGAAUACCAAGGCGCUUGAGAGAACUCGGGUGAAGGAACUAGGCAAAAUGGUGCCGUAACUUCGGGAGAAGGCACGCUGGUGUGUAGGUGAAGCCCCUGCGGGUGGAGCUGAGACCAGUCGAAGAUACCAGCUGGCUGCAACUGUUUAUUAAAAACACAGCACUGUGCAAACACGAAAGUGGACGUAUACGGUGUGACGCCUGCCCGGUGCCGGAAGGUUAAUUGAUGGGGUUAUCCGUAAGGAGAAGCUCUUGAUCGAAGCCCCGGUAAACGGCGGCCGUAACUAUAACGGUCCUAAGGUAGCGAAAUUCCUUGUCGGGUAAGUUCCGACCUGCACGAAUGGCGUAAUGAUGGCCAGGCUGUCUCCACCCGAGACUCAGUGAAAUUGAACUCGCUGUGAAGAUGCAGUGUACCCGCGGCAAGACGGAAAGACCCCGUGAACCUUUACUAUAGCUUGACACUGAACAUUGAGCCUUGAUGUGUAGGAUAGGUGGGAGGCUUUGAAGCGUGGACGCCAGUCUGCGUGGAGCCAACCUUGAAAUACCACCCUUUAAUGUUUGAUGUUCUAACGUUGGCCCCUUACCGGGGUUGCGGACAGUGUCUGGUGGGUAGUUUGACUGGGGCGGUCUCCUCCCAAAGCGUAACGGAGGAGCACGAAGGUUAGCUAAUCCUGGUCGGACAUCAGGAGGUUAGUGCAAUGGCAUAAGCUAGCUUGACUGCGAGCGUGACGGCGCGAGCAGGUGCGAAAGCAGGUCAUAGUGAUCCGGUGGUUCUGAAUGGAAGGGCCAUCGCUCAACGGAUAAAAGGUACUCCGGGGAUAACAGGCUGAUACCGCCCAAGAGUUCAUAUCGACGGCGGUGUUUGGCACCUCGAUGUCGGCUCAUCACAUCCUGGGGCUGAAGUAGGUCCCAAGGGUAUGGCUGUUCGCCAUUUAAAGUGGUACGCGAGCUGGGUUUAGAACGUCGUGAGACAGUUCGGUCCCUAUCUGCCGUGGGCGCUGGAGAAUUGAGGGGGGCUGCUCCUAGUACGAGAGGACCGGAGUGGACGCAUCACUGGUGUUCGGGUUGUCAUGCCAAUGGCACUGCCCGGUAGCUAAAUGCGGAAGAGAUAAGUGCUGAAAGCAUCUAAGCACGAAACUUGCCCCGAGAUGAGUUCUCCCUGAGACUUUAAGUCUCCUGAAGGAACGUUAAAGACGAUGACGUUGAUAGGCCGGGUGUGUAAGCGCAGCGAUGCGUUGAGCUAACCGGUACUAAUGAACCGUGAGGCUUAACCUUACAACGCCGAAG